RNAcentral lists this ribosomal RNA (888 nucleotides) under Ectopseudomonas alcaliphila. RNAcentral's name for it is "bacterial SSU rRNA". It matches the Rfam family "Bacterial small subunit ribosomal RNA", at positions 52 to 936 of the family's 1533-position model. Lineage: Bacteria; Pseudomonadati; Pseudomonadota; Gammaproteobacteria; Pseudomonadales; Pseudomonadaceae. The record is from RNAcentral.
UACCUGCAGUCGAGCGGAUGACGGGAGCUUGCUCCCUGAUUUAGCGGCGGACGGGUGAGUAAUGCCUAGGAAUCUGCCUGGUAGUGGGGGAUAACGUUCCGAAAGGAACGCUAAUACCGCAUACGUCCUACGGGAGAAAGCAGGGGACCUUCGGGCCUUGCGCUAUCAGAUGAGCCUAGGUCGGAUUAGCUAGUUGGUGAGGUAAUGGCUCACCAAGGCGACGAUCCGUAACUGGUCUGAGAGGAUGAUCAGUCACACUGGAACUGAGACACGGUCCAGACUCCUACGGGAGGCAGCAGUGGGGAAUAUUGGACAAUGGGCGAAAGCCUGAUCCAGCCAUGCCGCGUGUGUGAAGAAGGUCUUCGGAUUGUAAAGCACUUUAAGUUGGGAGGAAGGGCAUUAACCUAAUACGUUAGUGUUUUGACGUUACCGACAGAAUAAGCACCGGCUAACUUCGUGCCAGCAGCCGCGGUAAUACGAAGGGUGCAAGCGUUAAUCGGAAUUACUGGGCGUAAAGCGCGCGUAGGUGGUUCGUUAAGUUGGAUGUGAAAGCCCCGGGCUCAACCUGGGAACUGCAUCCAAAACUGGCGAGCUAGAGUACGGUAGAGGGUGGUGGAAUUUCCUGUGUAGCGGUGAAAUGCGUAGAUAUAGGAAGGAACACCAGUGGCGAAGGCGACCACCUGGACUGAUACUGACACUGAGGUGCGAAAGCGUGGGGAGCAAACAGGAUUAGAUACCCUGGUAGUCCACGCCGUAAACGAUGUCAACUAGCCGUUGGGUUCCUUGAGAACUUAGUGGCGCAGCUAACGCAUUAAGUUGACCGCCUGGGGAGUACGGCCGCAAGGUUAAAACUCAAAUGAAUUGACGGGGGCCCGCACAAGCGGUGGA